Molecule: ribosomal RNA, 469 nt
Filed under: uncultured bacterium
Lineage: Bacteria
Description: bacterial SSU rRNA
Rfam family: Bacterial small subunit ribosomal RNA
Source: RNAcentral
UCGAGAAUCUUCCGCAAUGGGCGAAAGCCUGACGGAGCGACACCGCGUGCAGGACGAAGGCCCUCGGGUUGUAAACUGCUGUCACGCUCUAGGAAUCCCGUGUUGUGAAUAGCAGCACGGUUGACUAAGGCGAGAGGAAGUGGCGGCUAACUCUGUGCCAGCAGCCGCGGUAAGACAGAGGCCACGAACGUUGUUCGGAAUCACUGGGCAUAAAGCGCACGUAGGCGGCUAGGUCCGUCCGAUGUGAAAGCCCCCGGCUCAACCGGGGAAUAGCAUCGGAUACAGCCUGGCUUGAGGACGGUUGGGGUGAGUGGAACUCCUGGUGGAGCGGUGAAAUGCGUAGAUAUCAGGAGGAACACCGGUGGCGAAAGCGGCUCACUGGACCGUUACUGACGCUGAGGUGCGAAAGCUAGGGGAGCAAACGGGAUUAGAUACCCCCGUAGUCCCUGAGCGGGCUGGCAAGGCGCAU